Bubalus bubalis (water buffalo) is the source of this 2300-nucleotide long non-coding RNA. RefSeq lists it as uncharacterized. Lineage: Eukaryota; Metazoa; Chordata; Mammalia; Artiodactyla; Bovidae. The record is from RefSeq and is a predicted model, not a curated record. The transcript has 3 exons.
AUCCCAGAGGAGCCUGGUGGGCUAUAGUCCAGUGGGUCACAGAGAGUCGUACACAACUGAAGCGUCGUAGCACACACGCAUGCAAGAGUGACAUGAGAUAAAAUCUAUAUGGAUUAAAUCUCAAAGAGAUUUUAAAAUAAUUUUAAAUAUAAAAUGAAAUUCCAAGAGAUUAAAAACAUUGAGUCAAAGGUUUGUGGAAGUAUCCUUUUUUUGUUUGUUUGUUUGUUUUCUUAGUGGUAUAUAACAAAACAGGUGUCCAGUCAUUGAUAGUGUUUUCUGGUGAGUAGUAGUUACUCUUGAGCUCAUUUCACAGGUGAGACUAGAAAGAUAUGUAUUCCCGAAGAUGACACAGUUAGCUAGUGGCUGUGUAGCUGUGGGGUUGGAAUGAGUCAAAAAGUUGACUUAGAUAACAGUCAUGGGGUUUCUGCAAAGUGCCAGGCAAUGUCUGGGAAAGUCAGAAGGAAACUCGUGUGGUCUCUACUCUCCCAGAGCUUCUGGUCCUGGGAGCAGGGGGAGUGCCUCGGAAGAUGGAGAGGCAGGUAACUGUGAUGCUUCCUGAAGGGUCUGAUGGUAGCAAGAGAUUCAGCCCUGAAGCUGGGGCUCUGAGGCAGCACCCACGAGGAAUGGGCUCCCAGACUCUGGCCUGGAGAGGAAGGAGGGAGUAUUAACCCAUUGAGGAAUAUGGGGAGUAGGAGCGCUGUUUCACACAGCGGGACAGCAAGUACCAGCAAGCAUCAGCGCACAUAGCUGCUGAAUCUGCUGCCUGCAUCCUUUCCGUGAGGGGACCUUGUGGAGUUGCUGAUGCUGACUGGCUGGGGCAGUGCCCUGCGGGAGACAGCAGCAGCUCUCCUGGGGAGAAAGAAGAUUAACUUCCCCAGGAACUGAUGCUUUGGACUCGCUCUGCCUAAUUCUCACAGAAGUAGGGGGCUGGCAUUAAAAACUCCAAUCUCAAGGUGAGAAAAGCAAAGUUCCAAGUGCUAACCCGCUGUGCCCAAGGUCACACAGGUCAUAAGUGAUGGAGGUGAGAUGCGGACCCCAGAGGACUGGACUCAAAGUGAGUUUGUGUUAAACUUCAAAGUAGGUCACACAGCUCCAGGACGAGAGGAGAUGCAGGAUCCAUUUGACUCUGUCCCCGCCAUGCCCUGGUGUGUUGCUGGAGGGGAGGGAAACAGAGGCCCCACGGGUGAGCGGUGACCUUCCCCAGGUCACACAUGGCCAGUCAAGCUAGGAACCAAGGUGUCAAGGAGUGCCUUCUUCACUUACUCAUAUGUCCAUGACUUUCAUCAACUUGUGUUUAAGGGCCGUUCAAGCAGGACAAACCACCACUUUAAAGCAAUUACUCGGUGAUGAUCAGGAGGGGCCGGGAGAUUCUGUUUGCUUAUGUGUGUGAACCUGAAAUGCCUACUUUCUUAAUUAAGCUUUAACUCUGCCUUUUGCCUCAAGCUUUUCAUUUUUUCCCCCCUCUUUAACAAGUCUCAGCCUUUCUCCAUCACUGAAGGCCUUGGGCUUUGCCUGUUUCAUUUCUCUCUUCUGAGAAGCAUCUUCUCCUGUCCCACUACAAGGAUACCUCCCCUUUCUAGCCCCAGUUCCCAGCUGCUCUUAAUUUCAUGAUUAUCAGCCAUGGGCAGUCUUUCUUGAUGACUCAGAAGCAAGGGAUGCAGGGAAUUCUAUACCUGGGCUCCUCCUUCCCACCCAGCUCCCCUCAGUGCCACUCACCCUUUCUCAAGAGCCCAUCCGAGGUCUCGAGCAGCCUUCCCUGAUCAGCACCAAGUCUGUUUGAGGUGUUCCAGGUCUGGCCCUCAUGGCUCUGGUGACUUUGUGUUUUUGUCUUUGAAUCUCCAGCAACUGGCAAUGCAUCUGGUAUGCAGGAGAUGCUUGAUAGAUGCUUCUUGAAUGAAUGAAUGCGUGAAGGAAUGAAUGGACAAUCUAGGCCAGUGUUCAGCCUUCAGGGGCCUGUUCUGGAAUUCUCAGAUCUGGAAUUGGGAGGCCUGAGGAUUUCCUUCUCUCCAUAUUGCUCCCCUACUUUCUUGGAGAGAUGACAAGACCCACAGAGUAUUCAGACUAAUGGUCUCCACUCAUCGCAGUUGGCAUGAGCAUCACAUGACAUCCUGCAGACAGCUUGAUGACCGCUGCCACACUGACCCUCACAAGCAUUCUCUGUGUUCAUUUAGGGCCUUCCCAGCAUGAAAAAAGCUGAGCACCAAAGAAUUGAUGCUUUCAAGCUGUGGUGCUGGAGAAGACUCUUGAGAGUCCUUUGGAUAGCAAGGAGAUGAAACUAGUCAAUCCUAAAGGAAAUCAAC